GUCGAACGAACUCUGGUAUUGAUUGGUGCUUGCAUCAUGAUUUACAUUUGAGUGAGUGGCGAACUGGUGAGUAACACGUGGGAAACCUGCCCAGAAGCGGGGGAUAACACCUGGAAACAGAUGCUAAUACCGCAUAACAACUUGGACCGCAUGGUCCGAGUUUGAAAGAUGGCUUCGGCUAUCACUUUUGGAUGGUCCCGCGGCGUAUUAGCUAGAUGGUGGGGUAACGGCUCACCAUGGCAAUGAUACGUAGCCGACCUGAGAGGGUAAUCGGCCACAUUGGGACUGAGACACGGCCCAAACUCCUACGGGAGGCAGCAGUAGGGAAUCUUCCACAAUGGACGAAAGUCUGAUGGAGCAACGCCGCGUGAGUGAAGAAGGGUUUCGGCUCGUAAAACUCUGUUGUUAAAGAAGAACAUAUCUGAGAGUAACUGUUCAGGUAUUGACGGUAUUUAACCAGAAAGCCACGGCUAACUACGUGCCAGCAGCCGCGGUAAUACGUAGGUGGCAAGCGUUGUCCGGAUUUAUUGGGCGUAAAGCGAGCGCAGGCGGUUUUUUAAGUCUGAUGUGAAAGCCUUCGGCUCAACCGAAGAAGUGCAUCGGAAACUGGGAAACUUGAGUGCAGAAGAGGACAGUGGAACUCCAUGUGUAGCGGUGAAAUGCGUAGAUAUAUGGAAGAACACCAGUGGCGAAGGCGGCUGUCUGGUCUGUAACUGACGCUGAGGCUCGAAAGUAUGGGUAGCAAACAGGAUUAGAUACCCUGGUAGUCCAUACCGUAAACGAUGAAUGCUAAGUGUUGGAGGGUUUCCGCCCUUCAGUGCUGCAGCUAACGCAUUAAGCAUUCCGCCUGGGGAGUACGGCCGCAAGGCUGAAACUCAAAGGAAUUGACGGGGGCCCGCACAAGCGGUGGAGCAUGUGGUUUAAUUCGAAGCUACGCGAAGAACCUUACCAGGUCUUGACAUACUAUGCAAAUCUAAGAGAUUAGACGUUCCCUUCGGGGACAUGGAUACAGGUGGUGCAUGGUUGUCGUCAGCUCGUGUCGUGAGAUGUUGGGUUAAGUCCCGCAACGAGCGCAACCCUUAUUAUCAGUUGCCAGCAUUAAGUUGGGCACUCUGGUGAGACUGCCGGUGACAAACCGGAGGAAGGUGGGGAUGACGUCAAAUCAUCAUGCCCCUUAUGACCUGGGCUACACACGUGCUACAAUGGAUGGUACAACGAGUUGCGAACUCGCGAGAGUAAGCUAAUCUCUUAAAGCCAUUCUCAGUUCGGAUUGUAGGCUGCAACUCGCCUACAUGAAGUCGGAAUCGCUAGUAAUCGCGGAUCAGCAUGCCGCGGUGAAUACGUUCCCGGGCCUUGUACACACCGCCCGUCACACCAUGAGAGUUUGUAACACCCAAAGUCGGUGGGGUAACCUUUUAG
RNAcentral lists this ribosomal RNA (1419 nucleotides) under Lactiplantibacillus plantarum. RNAcentral describes it as "bacterial SSU rRNA". It matches the Rfam family "Bacterial small subunit ribosomal RNA". The record is from RNAcentral. Lineage: Bacteria; Bacillati; Bacillota; Bacilli; Lactobacillales; Lactobacillaceae.